CAUCUAGGCGGUCAAUCAAGUUGAAGGUGAAAACUUGUGGCUCAACCAUAAGCUUGCCUACGAAACUGAUUAACUAGAGUACUGGAGAGGUGGACGGAACUACACGAGUAGAGGUGAAAUUCGUAGAUAUGUGUAGGAAUGCCGAUGAUGAAGAUAGUUCACUGGACAGAAACUGACGCUGAAGUGCGAAAGCUAGGGGAGCAACA
Molecule: ribosomal RNA, 206 nt
Filed under: uncultured bacterium
Lineage: Bacteria
Description: partial 16S ribosomal RNA
Rfam family: Bacterial small subunit ribosomal RNA
Source: RNAcentral